RNAcentral lists this ribosomal RNA (253 nucleotides) under uncultured bacterium. RNAcentral describes it as "partial 16S ribosomal RNA". It matches the Rfam family "Bacterial small subunit ribosomal RNA", at positions 524 to 776 of the family's 1533-position model. The record is from RNAcentral.
UACAGAGGUCUCAAGCGUUGUUCGGAUUCAUUGGGCGUAAAGGGUGCGUAGGCGGCGCGGUAAGUCGGGUGUGAAAUCUCGGGGCUUAACUCCGAAACUGCAUUCGAUACUGCCGUGCUUGAGGACUGGAGAGGAGACUGGAAUUUACGGUGUAGCGGUGAAAUGCGUAGAUAUCGUAAGGAAGACCAGUGGCGAAGGCGACUUCCUGGACCAAUACUGACGCUCAGGUGCGAAAGCGUGGGGAGCAAACAGG